CUUUCGGACAAGCUUUGCUAAUCCGUGGACUAAGGGAUGUAGGCCUAGGAAAACUGGAAAUCAAGUUCUCGGCGGGAAGGGAAGCCCG
Molecule: transfer RNA, 88 nt
Filed under: Gossypium harknessii
Lineage: Eukaryota; Viridiplantae; Streptophyta; Magnoliopsida; Malvales; Malvaceae
Description: tRNA-Ser
Source: RNAcentral